RNAcentral lists this long non-coding RNA (2720 nucleotides) under Malus domestica (apple). RNAcentral describes it as "long non-coding RNA (MDOM_LNC018874)". Lineage: Eukaryota; Viridiplantae; Streptophyta; Magnoliopsida; Rosales; Rosaceae. The record is from RNAcentral.
AUCACCUCACUGCCUUGCUAAUUAGAACCUAAAAUGAUUGUACACCGAUACACUCUUGUAGUAAGUAAUUAAUGCAUGAUGGAAAUAAUUAAUUGGAUUAAUUAAGUGUUGUGAUUAAUUUAGGAAGUCUAAAGAAAUCAUAAAAGCGAUAAAAGAUCGUUUUGGGCUUAAAGAAACGUUCGGGUUUAAUUGGGUCCAUUGGGCCUAAACCCAUUGGGCUUUUAUUCAAGCAUUGGAUGACUAGAAAUAAAUAAAAGCCCAAAGCCCAAACCAACACAAAGGGGCCGGCCAUUUAAAGUGGAGAGGGAGAGAUGUUAGUCAAUUUGUUGACUAGGUUUCUUUUUGUCUAUAUAAGGAACUUUAUAGAGAUUUAUUCGUUAGGAUUUUUGUGUGUUUUAAAACAACAAAGAGGCAAAAGAAACAUCUCUCUAAAAAAACACCAAAGGCCGGCCACCUUGAGGGUGAUUUAGCUAACAAUCUUUCACCCUUUUGGUUAUUCCUCCAUCCAUCUCACUACACUAGUGGGGUGGAUAUUUAGAGGUCUUCUCUUUUGGUGACUAAAGGAGAACCUUGGAGCACUCUUACUAACAAAGUGGAGGAGGCAAGGAGGGAGGCUAGGCUCAAGGACUUCAAGGAGCAAAGGACUUGGAGGUGGUCCAUCCUUGGUCUAAAAUCAAGAUCAAGAGGUAUAGACCUAUACCUUCACUUUGUUCUUCACUUAAAUGUUUUAGAUGCAUUAUACAUAAACCUAUGAACCUUGAAGGGGAUUUGCAUGACUAUUGCUUUGAUAUUAUUUGAUAACAUGCUUCCGUUGCUUAUGUAUAUAUAUUUUGAAUUGUAUAUGCAUGCUAGUCAUUUAGAAAUCCCAUGUGUUAAACUCAUAAUUUUCCCUUCAAGUGGUAUCAGAGCCAAAGGUUUAUGUAUAAUGUGUCCUUUUGGAUUUUAUGCAUAUGGGUAUUAAUAUGAUGUAUGACAUAACUAUUGCUUCAUUCAAAAUAAGUUUAUCUUUUGUUUUUCAAUAGUUGAAAAAAUGUUAGUCAAUAGUUGAGAAAGAUAUGUAUGCAAAAGAUGUUUUGUAUGCAUGAAUGAAAAUUGAGUUUUGAACUAGUUUGACAUAUUAUUUCUUCAUUUAAAGUAUGUUUAUCUUUUGUUUUUCAAUGGUUGAAAAAUAUAAAUCAAGAGUUGAAAAAGAUAUGCAUGUAAAAAGGUGUUUUAGAUGCAUGAAUGAAGAGUAAGUUAUGAACAAAAUUUGGGGUUUUGUUACUUGUCGUAGGCACGGCAUUAAGGGGGUUUUUUGGGCAUGUGUUUGUGUUUUGUUGUAAGACACUCACACAUCAUUUUAAAGCUAGAAAGUAGAGCCCAUGUCACUUUAGUUUUUGGGUUUGAAAAAUCACCAAGAAUACACAAAUCUUGAAAAUAUGUUCAUGGUUUUGUUCUUGGUGUUCAUGGUUUGUUUUUGGUGAAAAUGGUUUUAUUUGGUUUUCAUAAAUUGUUUUAUGGUUUUGGAUGAUAUACUCAUCAUCCAUAGCCUUCCCAAAAAUUUAUUAAAUCCUAGACUUGACUAGGAAAUUUCCAUCAAUCCCUUUCACCUAAGUUUUAAUUCCAAAACCAAGUGACAAGCAAAUUUGGAUUUUUUCUACUUUGCAUUGAAUUAAAGCAAGAUGGGUGAGACUUCCCAUCUCCCCUUAAUGUGGCCGGCCACCCUAGUGGAUUUAUCCACUUGGGGGGGUUUUUGUAAUUUGGAAAAAGAUAUUUUAUACUUUUGAGUAUUUACGGUUUGACCCCUAACUUUUUCUUAUUUGCAUUUAGGCCCCUACUAACUAGAAAGUUAAAAUAUUUGAUUUUAAUUUUGUUAGUUGUUUAAACUCAUAAUACUAUUAUGCCCAUAUGCACUAAAUCUAAAUGUUCAUGUUGCAUUCCAUUUUGAUUAUUUAAUGUGAUUAAGUAGUUAGAAAAGGGUGACUAUGGACUUAUGCCUUAAACGAUAAUUGAGCUAUGAGAUAAGGCGCUAAAAUCAAAUUGUUUGAACCUUGGGAAUGUGUUUUAAUUACUGUUUUAUUGGACCUUGUCACAUUUGACAUUAAUCUAUCUCUCCCUCUUAGUAUGUGUAAUUUGUAGGAAUUUGUACAAAUCGGUUUGUGUUCUUAUUAUUUCUUAAUCUCUUUUAGUUAGUUGAUUCCCUCUAGUGCUAGACUAGAGUUUCUUUAACUAUUGGUAAGGAGACAUAACUAAAAGAGGGUUUUGACAUGAGAUUAAAGAUUAAAUGGGUCCAAUGCCCUAAUUAGCAAUGAAUGAUUGUCUUUCAUUUCUAAUGGCUCAAUGAAAAUGUUUUAAUUGGAUUGAAAAGCACGUAAUUAAAUUGACACAACCUCCCCGAGUUUAUAUUCAACAAUGUUGGCUCAUUGUUGCAAUAACCUAAUAAGUCCAUGGUCAUCCAAGAGCCUGAGAUAACUAUAAAGUCCAAUUUCAAAGGAAUGCAAAAACCUUAGUAGUAGUAGUUACUUCCAAUAUUUGAAAAUUCGUUUUUGAUAUUGAUUUGUUUUUCUUAAAACAAAUAGUGGGAGUAUCAUACGCUACUAAACUAUAAUGAAAACAAUUAGUAGUUAUAUAUAUCUCCAAUAUUUUGAAAAAUGUUUUGAUAUUGAUUUGUUUUAUGAAACGAAUAGUGGGGAUAUCAUAUGCUACUAAUUUCAUUAACUUUGGACUAGUAGUUGUAAUAG